AGAGUUUGAUCGUGGCUCAGAAUGAACGCUGGCGGCGUGCCUUACACAUGCAAGUCGGAUGUGUCGCAAGACACAUGGCAGACGGGUGAGUAACACGUGGGAAACUUACCUCUUAGUGGGGAAUAACGCUCCGAAAGGAGCGGUAAUACCGCAUGAGACCUAUCGCUGGGAUGCGAUAGAUGAAAGCUGGGGAUCGUAAGACCUAGCGCUGAGAGAGAGUCCUGCGUCUGAUUAGUUAGUUGGUGAGGUAACGGCUCACCAAGACUUCGAUCAGUAGCCGGCCUGAGAGGGCGAUCGGCCACACUGGAACUGAGACACGGUCCAGACUCCUACGGGAGGCAGCAGUGGGGAAUCUUGCGCAAUGGGCGAAAGCCUGACGCAGCAACGCCGCGUGGGUGAUGAAGGUCUUCGGAUUGUAAAACCCUGUCGUUAGGGACGAAGGCAUGAAUCCUAAUACGAUUCAUGUUUGACGGUACCUAGAAAGGAAGCCCCGGCUAACUCUGUGCCAGCAGCCGCGGUAAUACAGAGGGGGCAAGCGUUAUUCGGAAUUAUUGGGCGUAAAGGGUGCGUAGGCGGUUUUUUAAGUCAGAUGUGUAAUCCCCGAGCUCAACUUGGGAACUGCAUCUGAAACUGGAAGACUAGAGUGCUGGAGAGGAUGGUGGAAUUCCACGUGUAGCGGUGAAAUGCGUAGAGAUGUGGAGGAACACCAGUGGCGAAGGCGGCCAUCUGGACAGUAACUGACGCUGAAGCACGAAAGUGUGGGUAGCAAACAGGAUUAGAUACCCUGGUAGUCCACACCGUAAACGAUGAACACUUGGUGUAGUGGGCGUUGACCCCCACUGUGCCGUAGCUAACGCGAUAAGUGUUCCGCCUGGGGAGUACGGUCGCAAGGCUGAAACUCAAAGGAAUUGACGGGGGCCCGCACAAGCGGUGGAGCAUGUGGUUCAAUUCGACGCAACGCGAAGAACCUUACCUGGGCUUGAACUGUAAUGGACCGUGGCAGAGAUGUCACUUUUCGCAAGAACUGUUAUAGAGGUGCUGCAUGGCUGUCGUCAGCUCGUGCCGUGAGGUGUUGGGUUAAGUCCCGCAACGAGCGCAACCCCCAUCACUAGUUGCCAUCAGGUAACGCUGGGAACUCUAGUGAAACUGCCGUCGUAAGACGUGAGGAAGGAGGGGAUGAUGUCAAGUCAUCAUGGCCUUUAUGCCUAGGGCUACACACGUGCUACAAUGGGAAGGACAAAGGGUCGCGACAUAGUGAUAUGAAGCCAAUCCCAAAAACCUUCUCUCAGUUCAGAUUGGAGUCUGCAACUCGACUCCAUGAAGCUGGAAUCGCUAGUAAUCGUAUAUCAGCAAUGAUACGGUGAAUACGUUCCCGGACCUUGCACACACCGCCCGUCAAGCCAUGGAAGCUGGGUGUACCUAAAGUCGGUAACCGAAAGGAGCCGCCUAGGGUAAAACUAGUGACUGGGGCUAAGUCGUAACAAGGUAACCGUA
This 1494-nucleotide ribosomal RNA is filed under the name uncultured bacterium. Its description in RNAcentral is "bacterial SSU rRNA". It matches the Rfam family "Bacterial small subunit ribosomal RNA". The record is from RNAcentral.